RNAcentral lists this long non-coding RNA (3117 nucleotides) under Arabidopsis lyrata. RNAcentral's name for it is "long non-coding RNA (ALYR_LNC000675)". Lineage: Eukaryota; Viridiplantae; Streptophyta; Magnoliopsida; Brassicales; Brassicaceae. The record is from RNAcentral.
UCACUCUUGUGGAUCUCUUAACUUGAGUUCUUCGGGUUUCUGUGAGGGAGCUCUCCAAUGGAUUGUUCGCUAGCAGGAAGAGAGAGAAAGAGCUCCGGAUUUGUCCCGUUUGAUUUCCGAUCUUCCCUCCGUCUAAGUCUCGCCGGAGCUUCUGUUUCCGUUUUUGUAACCCGAGAAGUUGUAUUGGCCCAUUACAAAGCCCAAUUGGGAUGAUUUUUAAUGAUUUUUUUUUUUCUCAAAUUGUAAAAGACUAGAUAUUAACCCGCGGUACACCACGGGUCUAUAAUUUUAUUAAAUAAUAAUAAAAUUAAUUUUUUUUAAGAUGAUCUAUAGAUAUAUGCUAUUGUUUUGUUUGAUUUAAAUGUAUGGUACACACGAUAUUUUAUAACUAAAGAUUUAAAAUUUGAAGUUUUAUUUGUUUUGUUAAUAUUAUUUGUUUAGUUUUGUUUAGUGUUUAAGAUUGUAUAGUUAUAUUUUGAUUGUUAAUUAUAGGAUUUCACCUGUAGUAUAUCAUACUGUAUUAAUAUCGACCCCAAAUCUGUCCGACCAUAUAACUCUGUCCCGUGAAAUCUACAUCAUUUUGUCAUUUUCCAAUAAAAUUCAAAUAUUUCUAAUAUUCGAAACUUCAUUUAAUAUCGACCCAAAAUUCAUAAUAGUAUUUUGAUUGUUAUAUCUAAGAUUUCACCCGUAAUAUACCGUCCCGAUUAAUAUCUUUUGUAAAUAUUUAUAAUGUUUAAAUUUCUUAUAAAUUAUUAUAAAAUUCAACUAUUUAAUAUUUGAAACUUUAUAAAAUUCCUAAUAUUAUAAAUAUUUAAAACGUUUUAUAAAAAUAAACUUUUUUAAAUGUUUAAAUAAUUAUAAUAUUUUACUUUUAAUAAAGUUUAAAUGUUUAUUAAUUUGAAACUAUUUAAAAGUUUCAAUAAAAAAUAUUAGAAAACAUUAAACAUGAAAUACAUUGGAUAAGAAAAUAAAAUAUAUAUGAUGUGAUUGUUAACCAUAUAAAACAUGUAAUUGUUGUAAAAGGUUUUAAAAGAUUAGAAAAAUUACACUUACCAACCAAAACUCGGAUCCACAGGUUUUAGUAAAAGUAUAUAUCAUAAAAACAAUUAAGAUACAUAACAUUAGAAUAAUGAAAAUUAAGAAUAAGAACUUUAUUUUAUUAACAAAUUCAUUUCCUUUUUACGGUUAAGAAAAAGAUUUUAAUAGAAUGGACUUGUUAUGUUAGCCUAUAAAAGAAAAUCAUUUACAAACAUUAUGAGGAAACAUGAAAUUAUGAAAAUGUAAAAAAAUACUGGACAUUAAAAAAAAUUCGUAUCUGAAGAUAAGAAGAAGGACUAACUAACCUUUUAAUGCAUACCUUAUUUGAUAGUUUCUUUGGAGACGGAGUUGAUGAUGUCCAUAAUUUCCAAAGAUCUUAAAAUCGAAAGCUGCAACAUAAGAAAAGUAGGUGACAAUUAAUUUUUUAAAAGAAAACAAACGUGAAAUAUAAAAUGUACUAAGAACAUUGUUUAAAAGAAGCCAUAUAAAUCUCUAUUACGAAAACGUUUAGUAUUGUGGAUCAAUGGUUGAAAAGAUCUUUUUUUAUAUAGAUGAAUGAAAAGUACUCGAGAAGUUUAGGUUUGAUCUAAAAAUUAAAACAAUUUUGCAAAUAUUGGAAAAUUAAAUAUUUGAUUCCUAAUAUAUUCGAUUUUGUAUUAUCAACUGAAUAACGUCUAUAUGCAUGGUGGGAUUUAUGAAUGAGGAAAGCUAAUUAAAGAUAUUUCCAUUUGUUUUAGGAAGUUUGUUGAAUAAUAUCUAAACGAAACAAAAAAAAUCUUUUAAAGAUAUUUUAUGAGAAAUAAUAUAUUCGCCAAUUUGGGUUGGGGAUCAAGUAUAUGAAAAUCUCGUAAAUAUUAUAUGUUAUAUUUAUUACAUAUACUAAUUUUCACAUUGUAGUUAUUUAAAUCAAAGAAUUUAAUGAGUUAAUUAUGGAAUACAAAAUAUCUAUGUAAAUCAAAAAGUUUAAAGAACCAAUAGCGCUGGAAUUGAUUUUUUUGCUAUAACGAUUACUAAAACAUUUAAGUAAAUAAAGAUAUUUCGUUAUGAUUUUUCAGCAUAUUCGAAUUGUUGAUUAUUCCGAAAUUUAAGGAUGUUUAAGAAAUCAUGAUUGAUUUCCGAUUUCAUAAAUUUUGAUUAGAAUUAAAAAUAAAAGAUUUAGUAUUUAGAUAAGGAAUAUACUAUAAUAAGGAUUAUUAGUACUCAAAUAUAUUAGGAAUAUUCGUAUUGUUAGUUUAUUUAAUUCAAAAAUUAUAAUUUGCGGAUUUAAAGGAAGAUCUUCUCGAGAUUUUAGGCAUAUAAUCGAGAUUUUAGUAACAAACUGUGAUCACAUUAAAUUUUCGAAAGAUUUGUGUCGAAAUUGUUAGAAACAAAUUAGGAUAGAUAAUGUUUGGUUAGUAUCUUUUUAAUAUUUUCAAAUCUUUAGAAUUAAACUCAUUGACAUUAUAUUGUUGAAUUUAUUUUUUAAAAAUGACGNNNNNNNNNNNNNNNNNNNNNNNNNNNNNNNNNNNNNNNNNNNNNNNNNNNNNNNNNNNNNNNNNNNNNNNNNNNNNNNNNNNNNNNNNNNNNNNNNNNNCCCGGCUUCGGGUUGUCUGUUCCCUUGCGGAUAUCGUGGAGAAGAAUAACUAACUUUGAUUCCCCAGUCCGCACAAAAGGAAUGAACUCGGAACAGGGAUAUUUGGCGUCAUCAGAGAGAUUAUUUGAGCAGAAAAUGGUUGUUUUAGGAAGAGUAAAAGAAAGGGGUGAUGAGUGACGUUACCGACGGCGAAGCGGUGGGAGAAGCAUUGAGGAAGGAGAGGAAAUCAGAGACAAGGGAGCUCUUAUCCAUGGCUCACUCUUGUGGAUCUCUUAACUUGAGUUCUUCGGGUUUCUGUGAGGGAGCUCUCCAAUGGAUUGUUCGCUAGCAGGAAGAGAGAGAAAGAGCUCCGGAUUUGUCCCGUUUGAUUUCCGAUCUUCCAUCCGUCUAAGUCUCGCCGGAGCUUCUGUUUCCGUUUUUGUAACCCGAGAAGUUGUAUUGGCCCAUUACAAAGCCCAAUUGGGAUGAUUUUUAAUGAUUUUUUUUUUUUUCUCAAAUUGUAAAAG